AACGAACGCUGGCGGCAUGCCUAACACAUGCAAGUCGAACGAAGCCUUCGGGCUUAGUGGCGCACGGGUGCGUAACGCGUGGGAAUCUGCCCUGGGGUUCGGAAUAACAGUUAGAAAUGACUGCUAAUACCGGAUGAUGUCUUCGGACCAAAGAUUUAUCGCCCAAGGAUGAGCCCGCGUAGGAUUAGGCAGUUGGUGGGGUAAUGGCCCACCAAGCCGACGAUCCUUAGCUGGUCUGAGAGGAUGAUCAGCCACACUGGGACUGAGACACGGCCCAGACUCCUACGGGAGGCAGCAGUGGGGAAUAUUGGACAAUGGGCGAAAGCCUGAUCCAGCAAUGCCGCGUGAGUGAUGAAGGCCUUAGGGUUGUAAAGCUCUUUUACCAGGGAUGAUAAUGACAGUACCUGGAGAAUAAGCUCCGGCUAACUCCGUGCCAGCCGCCGCUGUAA
RNAcentral lists this ribosomal RNA (449 nucleotides) under uncultured bacterium. RNAcentral's name for it is "partial 16S ribosomal RNA". It matches the Rfam family "Bacterial small subunit ribosomal RNA", at positions 29 to 523 of the family's 1533-position model. The record is from RNAcentral.